This is a non-coding RNA of Schistosoma margrebowiei, 73 nucleotides long. NCBI's taxonomy places the organism in Eukaryota, Metazoa, Platyhelminthes, Trematoda, Strigeidida, Schistosomatidae. The record is from Rfam.
AGCUUUGUGUAUCUGUGCUGAGAUUUCAUCACAAACCAGACCACAAGGGCUGAUGAGACUCCCAAGUGGAGCG